UUGGGCGUAAAGCGCGUGUAGGCGGUCUCUUAAGUCUGAUGUGAAAGCCCUGGGCUCAACCCAGGAAGUGCAUUGGAUACUGGGAGACUUGAAUACGGGAGAGGGUAGUGGAAUUCCUAGUGUAGGAGUGAAAUCCGUAGAUAUUAGGAGGAACACCGGUGGCGAAGGCGGCUACCUGGACCGAUAUUGACGCUGAGACGCGAAAGCGUGGGGAGCAAACAGGAUUAGAUACCCUGGUAGUCCACGCCGUAAACGAUGAGAACUAGGUGUUGCGGGUA
RNAcentral lists this ribosomal RNA (278 nucleotides) under uncultured Geobacter sp. Its description in RNAcentral is "partial 16S ribosomal RNA". It matches the Rfam family "Bacterial small subunit ribosomal RNA", at positions 554 to 831 of the family's 1533-position model. The record is from RNAcentral. Lineage: Bacteria; Pseudomonadati; Thermodesulfobacteriota; Desulfuromonadia; Geobacterales; Geobacteraceae.